UACGGAGGAUCCAAGCGUUAUCCGGAUUUAUUGGGUUUAAAGGGUGCGUAGGUGGCCUGUUAAGUCAGGGGUGAAAGACGGUAGCUCAACUAUCGCAGUGCCCUUGAUACCGACGGGCUUGAAUGAACUAGAGGUAGGUGGAAUGUGACAAGUAGCGGUGAAAUGCAUAGAUAUGUCACAGAACACCAAUUGCGAAGGCAGCUUACUAUGGUUUGAUUGACACUGAGGCACGAAAGCGUGGGGAUCAAACAGG
Molecule: ribosomal RNA, 253 nt
Filed under: uncultured prokaryote
Description: partial 16S ribosomal RNA
Rfam family: Bacterial small subunit ribosomal RNA
Source: RNAcentral